CGUUAUCAUUGUGCUUCCUCUUCUUUUUUUGGCAUCUUCUUCUUCUUCAUCUCUAUCCUCAGUUUCAUCUUCUUAUGCACCGAUGCUUUUGCCAUGCUUAGGUGGCUCUAUUCUAUCUUUGUCACUGUUGGACUCUUCUUCCACCGUGUCCAUUGUUGAUGCUAUUACAUUGAGUUAAAUCGCCAGAUCAAAACCCUUGUUGUAGCUGUAGGAAUUGUUUUCUCUCUUGAGCUACACCUCUGGUGCCAUUUUGCUACUGAUCCUAUCCGGUGAUGUUUUGCGUCCAUUGUCCUUUUCCUCUAUUUUACUUAUCUCUAUGUUAUGCAAUUAUGAGAAUUUUAUUGGAAGAUUAUAUUUGAUUGUGAUUGUCUGAUGAUAGAAUGAUUACGAUGAAGUUGGUUGAAACCUCUUAGAAGGUGGGUUAGAAUUUUAGAAUAUUGUAUUUGUUCUUUAAUUUGUGAUAAUUGAUGCUAAUUAGAGUUAAUUUGUGAUCAAUUAGCUCAUACUCUUUUGUUUUGAUUAAAGUUUUUAGUUCACAACCAUACAUGAUGUAUACGCUUCAAUUUAAUUUUCAGGCUCACGCCAUAUGGAGAAAGCUACAUUCUCAUUGCCACCAAACUUGAAUGCAGGUACACAAUAUAAGCUCUUUGGUAAUUAUGUGUUGAAUCUGCUACUUGAAUAAGUUGAAGAUUACCAACAUCAUCUACUUGUAUGAAUCUGCUAAGCUUCCAUCUUAUCAAAGGUCUGUAUGUCAUUUGCAAACUUGUGAAAGCAAAGAGGAAGCUACAAGUAGAGAAGACGAAACCACACAGCCUCGUGAUAACUCUAGCACUUUUUGCAAUGUAUUUGUACUUAAAUGACAUUUCUCAUUUUUUACAAUAAUGUAAUUGUACAA
Arachis ipaensis is the source of this 895-nucleotide non-coding RNA. Lineage: Eukaryota; Viridiplantae; Streptophyta; Magnoliopsida; Fabales; Fabaceae. The record is from RefSeq and is a predicted model, not a curated record.